CGGAGUUACAAAGGACGACAUUAGACGAAUCAUCUGGAAAGAUGAAUCAAAGAAGGUAAUAAUCCUGUAGUCGAAAAUGUUGUCUCUCUUGAGUGGAUCCUGAGUACGACGGAGCACGUGAAAUUCCGUCGGAAUCUGGGAGGACCAUCUCCUAAGGCUAAAUACUCUCUAGUGACCGAUAGUGAACCAGUACCGUGAGGGAAAGGUGAAAAGCACCCCGGAAGGGGAGUGAAAUAGAACCUGAAACCGUGUGCUUACAAGUAGUCAGAGCCCGUUAAUGGGUGAUGGCGUGCCUUUUGUAGAAUGAACCGGCGAGUUACGAUUUGAUGCAAGGUUAAGCAGUAAAUGUGGAGCCGUAGCGAAAGCGAGUCUGAAUAGGGCGUUUAGUAUUUGGUCGUAGACCCGAAACCAGGUGAUCUACCCUUGGUCAGGUUGAAGUUCAGGUAACACUGAAUGGAGGACCGAACCGACUUACGUUGAAAAGUGAGCGGAUGAACUGAGGGUAGCGGAGAAAUUCCAAUCGAACCUGGAGAUAGCUGGUUCUCUCCGAAAUAGCUUUAGGGCUAGCCUCAAGUGAUGAUUAUUGGAGGUAGAGCACUGUUUGGACGAGGGGCCCCUCUCGGGUUACCGAAUUCAGACAAACUCCGAAUGCCAAUUAAUUUAACUUGGGAGUCAGAACAUGGGUGAUAAGGUCCGUGUUCGAAAGGGAAACAGCCCAGACCACCAGCUAAGGUCCCAAAAUAUAUGUUAAGUGGAAAAGGAUGUGGCGUUGCCCAGACAACUAGGAUGUUGGCUUAGAAGCAGCCAUCAUUUAAAGAGUGCGUAAUAGCUCACUAGUCGAGUGACACUGCGCCGAAAAUGUACCGGGGCUAAACAUAUUACCGAAGCUGUGGAUUGUCCUUUGGACAAUGGUAGGAGAGCGUUCUAAGGGCGUUGAAGCAUGAUCGUAAGGACAUGUGGAGCGCUUAGAAGUGAGAAUGCCGGUGUGAGUAGCGAAAGACGGGUGAGAAUCCCGUCCACCGAUUGACUAAGGUUUCCAGAGGAAGGCUCGUCCGCUCUGGGUUAGUCGGGUCCUAAGCUGAGGCCGACAGGCGUAGGCGAUGGAUAACAGGUUGAUAUUCCUGUACCACCUAUAAUCGUUUUAAUCGAUGGGGGGACGCAGUAGGAUAGGCGAAGCGUGCGAUUGGAUUGCACGUCUAAGCAGUAAGGCUGAGUAUUAGGCAAAUCCGGUACUCGUUAAGGCUGAGCUGUGAUGGGGAGAAGACAUUGUGUCUUCGAGUCGUUGAUUUCACACUGCCGAGAAAAGCCUCUAGAUAGAAAAUAGGUGCCCGUACCGCAAACCGACACAGGUAGUCAAGAUGAGAAUUCUAAGGUGAGCGAGCGAACUCUCGUUAAGGAACUCGGCAAAAUGACCCCGUAACUUCGGGAGAAGGGGUGCUCUUUAGGGUUAACGCCCAGAAGAGCCGCAGUGAAUAGGCCCAAGCGACUGUUUAUCAAAAACACAGGUCUCUGCUAAACCGUAAGGUGAUGUAUAGGGGCUGACGCCUGCCCGGUGCUGGAAGGUUAAGAGGAGUGGUUAGCUUCUGCGAAGCUACGAAUCGAAGCCCCAGUAAACGGCGGCCGUAACUAUAACGGUCCUAAGGUAGCGAAAUUCCUUGUCGGGUAAGUUCCGACCCGCACGAAAGGCGUAACGAUUUGGGCACUGUCUCAACGAGAGACUCGGUGAAAUCAUAGUACCUGUGAAGAUGCAGGUUACCCGCGACAGGACGGAAAGACCCCGUGGAGCUUUACUGUAGCCUGAUAUUGAAAUUCGGCACAGCUUGUACAGGAUAGGUAGGAGCCUUUGAAACGUGAGCGCUAGCUUACGUGGAGGCGCUGGUGGGAUACUACCCUAGCUGUGUUGGCUUUCUAACCCGCACCACUUAUCGUGGUGGGAGACAGUGUCAGGCGGGCAGUUUGACUGGGGCGGUCGCCUCCUAAAAGGUAACGGAGGCGCUCAAAGGUUCCCUCAGAAUGGUUGGAAAUCAUUCAUAGAGUGUAAAGGCAUAAGGGAGCUUGACUGCGAGACCUACAAGUCGAGCAGGGUCGAAAGACGGACUUAGUGAUCCGGUGGUUCCGCAUGGAAGGGCCAUCGCUCAACGGAUAAAAGCUACCCCGGGGAUAACAGGCUUAUCUCCCCCAAGAGUUCACAUCGACGGGGAGGUUUGGCACCUCGAUGUCGGCUCAUCGCAUCCUGGGGCUGUAGUCGGUCCCAAGGGUUGGGCUGUUCGCCCAUUAAAGCGGUACGCGAGCUGGGUUCAGAACGUCGUGAGACAGUUCGGUCCCUAUCCGUCGUGGGCGUAGGAAAUUUGAGAGGAGCUGUCCUUAGUACGAGAGGACCGGGAUGGACAUACCUCUGGUGUACCAGUUGUCGUGCCAACGGCAUAGCUGGGUAGCUAUGUGUGGACGGGAUAAGUGCUGAAAGCAUCUAAGCAUGAAGCCCCCCUCAAGAUGAGAUUUCCCAACUUCGGUUAUAAGAUCCCUCAAAGAUGAUGAGGUUAAUAGGUUCGAGGUGGAAGUAUGGUGACAUGUGGAGCUGACGAAUACUAAUCGAUCGAAGACUUAAUCAA
RNAcentral lists this ribosomal RNA (2609 nucleotides) under Staphylococcus aureus M0937. Its description in RNAcentral is "bacterial LSU rRNA". It matches the Rfam family "Bacterial large subunit ribosomal RNA", at positions 310 to 2925 of the family's 2925-position model. The record is from RNAcentral. Lineage: Bacteria; Bacillati; Bacillota; Bacilli; Caryophanales; Staphylococcaceae. RNAcentral also lists the same sequence under 2 other names.